GGAAGAAGCGAAAGUGACGGUACCUGCAGAAAAAGCGCCGGCUAACUACGUGCCAGCAGCCGCGGUAAUACGUAGGGCGCAAGCGUUAUCCGGAAUUAUUGGGCGUAAAGAGCUCGUAGGCGGUUUGUCGCGUCUGCUGUGAAAACCCGAGGCUCAACCUCGGGCCUGCAGUGGGUACGGGCAGACUAGAGUGCGGUAGGGGAGAUUGGAAUUCCUGGUGUAGCGGUGGAAUGCGCAGAUAUCAGGAGGAACACCGAUGGCGAAGGCAGAUCUCUGGGCCGUAACUGACGCUGAGGAGCGAAAGGGUGGGGAGCAAACAGGCUUAGAUACCCUGGUAGUCCACCCCGUAAACGUUGGGAACUAGUUGUGGGGUCCAUUCCACGGAUUCCGUGACGCAGCUAACGCAUUAAGUUCCCCGCCUGGGGAGUACGGCCGCAAGGCUAAAACUCAAAGGAAUUGACGGGGACCCGCACAAGCGGCGGAGCAUGCGGAUUAAUUCGAUGCAACGCGAAGAACCUUACCAAGGCUUGACAUAUACAAGAACGGGCCAGAAAUGGUCAACUCUUUGGACACUCGUAAACAGGUGGUGCAUGGUUGUCGUCAGCUCGUGUCGUGAGAUGUUGGGUUAAGUCCCGCAACGAGCGCAACCCUCGUUCUAUGUUGCCAGCACGUAAUGGUGGGAACUCAUGGGAUACUGCCGGGGUCAACUCGGAGGAAGGUGGGGAUGACGUCAAAUCAUCAUGCCCCUUAUGUCUUGGGCUUCACGCAUGCUACAAUGGCCGGUACAAAGGGCUGCAAUACCGCAAGGUGGAGCGAAUCCCAAAAAGCCGGUCCCAGUUCGGAUUGAGGUCUGCAACUCGACCUCAUGAAGUCGGAGUCGCUAGUAAUCGCAGAUCAGCAACGCUGCGGUGAAUACGUUCCCGGGUCUUGUACACACCGCCCGUCAAGUCAUGAAAGUCGGUAACACCU
RNAcentral lists this ribosomal RNA (969 nucleotides) under Microbacterium sp. Its description in RNAcentral is "bacterial SSU rRNA". It matches the Rfam family "Bacterial small subunit ribosomal RNA", at positions 443 to 1422 of the family's 1533-position model. The record is from RNAcentral. Lineage: Bacteria; Bacillati; Actinomycetota; Actinomycetes; Micrococcales; Microbacteriaceae.